Molecule: ribosomal RNA, 250 nt
Filed under: uncultured bacterium
Lineage: Bacteria
Description: partial 16S ribosomal RNA
Rfam family: Bacterial small subunit ribosomal RNA
Source: RNAcentral
CACGUAGGAUCCAAGCGUUGUCCGGAUUUACUGGGUGUAAAGGGUGCGCAGGCGGAUGGGUAAGUCAGAGGUGAAAGUCUGCAGCUUAACUGUAGAAUUGCCUUUGAUACUGCUUAUCUUGAGUUUGGGAGAGGUUGAUGGAAUUCCAGGUGUAGCAGUGAAAUGCGUAGAUAUCUGGAAGAACACCAGUGGCGAAGGCGGUCAACUGGCCCAUAACUGACGCUCAUGCACGAAAGCGUGGGGAGCAAAC